GCGGUUAUGGCGGAAUUGGCAGACGCGCUAGAUUUAGGUUCUAGUGGGGGAUCCCGUGCAGGUUCAAGUCCUGUUAACCGCA
This 82-nucleotide transfer RNA is filed under the name Eubacterium sp. RNAcentral's name for it is "tRNA-Leu". It matches the Rfam family "tRNA". From Rfam's summary of the family: Transfer RNA (tRNA) molecules are approximately 80 nucleotides in length. Lineage: Bacteria; Bacillati; Bacillota; Clostridia; Eubacteriales; Eubacteriaceae. The record is from RNAcentral.